This 25-nucleotide microRNA is filed under the name Bombyx mori (domestic silkworm). RNAcentral's name for it is "bmo-miR-3242". Lineage: Eukaryota; Metazoa; Arthropoda; Insecta; Lepidoptera; Bombycidae. The record is from miRBase by way of RNAcentral.
CCUUUGCCUUCAUCUUCUGCAACUU